RNAcentral lists this transfer RNA (78 nucleotides) under Candidatus Bathyarchaeota archaeon. RNAcentral describes it as "tRNA-Arg". It matches the Rfam family "tRNA". From Rfam's summary of the family: Transfer RNA (tRNA) molecules are approximately 80 nucleotides in length. Their secondary structure includes four short double-helical elements and three loops (D, anti-codon, and T loops). Lineage: Archaea; Thermoproteati; Candidatus Bathyarchaeota. The record is from RNAcentral. RNAcentral also lists the same sequence under 1 other name.
GGGCCCGUGGCCAAGCCUGGAUAAGGCGCCGGCCUUCUAAGCCGGAGAUCCUGGGUUCAAAUCCCAGCGGGCCCGCCA